UGGGGAAUAUUGCACAAUGGGCGAAAGCCUGAUGCAGCAACGCCGCGUGAGGGAAGACGGUCUUCGGAUUGUAAACCUUUAACUUUGGAGAAGAAACAAAUGACGGUAACCAAAGGAGCAGCCACGGCUAACUACGUGCCAGCAGCCGCGGUAAUACGUAGGAGGCAAGCGUUGUCCGGAAUUACUGGGUGGAAAGGGAGCGCAGGCGGGGAGGCAAGUUAGCUGUGAAAUGUAUGGGCUUAACCCAUGAAUUGCAGUUGAAACUGUCUUUCUUGAGUGGAGUAGAGGUAGGCGGAAUUCCGAGUGGAGCGGUGAAAUGCGUAGAUAUUCGGAGGAACACCAGUGGCGAAGGCGGCCUACUGGGCUCUAACUGACGCUGAGGCUCGAAAGUGUGGGGAGCAAACA
RNAcentral lists this ribosomal RNA (405 nucleotides) under uncultured prokaryote. RNAcentral describes it as "bacterial SSU rRNA". It matches the Rfam family "Bacterial small subunit ribosomal RNA", at positions 355 to 774 of the family's 1533-position model. The record is from RNAcentral.